RNAcentral lists this long non-coding RNA (547 nucleotides) under Equus caballus (horse). RNAcentral describes it as "lncRNA (ENSECAG00000058937.1)". The record is from RNAcentral. Lineage: Eukaryota; Metazoa; Chordata; Mammalia; Perissodactyla; Equidae.
GGUAGUUAAAUUUUAGCUUACUUCUUACUGUAUACUCUGGUAGAAACAUCUUUUCACUUGACAUCAGGAUCUCUAGACCAACAGAAUCUGAAGUUGCAGUGAUGGGAAGCCAAAUCACGCAAGUGGAUUACUAUGAGUAACGUGAAAUUGAGAAAAUCAAAUGAAGAAUUCGCCUGCCUCUAAUUGGGCCGAUCUUUAAUAAGGGGAAGCGGGGCAACAUUGAUACCUUUGAAGCAGUCAGCAGAUUCUCACCAUCAUGUGAUCAAGGCCACACUAAUGUGCUGGAGGAUGAGAGACCACAAGAAAGAGAUCCAAGCUGUCUCAUCUGUCCCAGCCAAGGCCUUCCUAGACUUGCUGGUCCCCAGUCAAACUGCCUGCUGAUGACGGAUAAAUGAAAUGAGUAAGCUCAGCUGAGAUCAGUCAAGUCUGGCUCAGACAAGAAAAAAUGCCCAUUUGGUUCACAGACUGAUGAAUUAAAUAAAUAUGUAUUGUUGUAUGCUACUGAGGUUUUAUGAUUUUUUUGCUAUGCAGCAUUAUGAUGGCAAUA